AUACGGAGGGUGCAAGCGUUAAUCGGAAUUACUGGGCGUAAAGCGCGCGUAGGCGGAUAUUUAAGUCUCAUGUGAAAGCCCUGGGCUCAACCUGGGAACUGCAUGGGAUACUGGGUAUCUAGAAUACAGUAGAGGGUAGUGGAAUUUCAGGCGUAGCGGUGAAAUGCGUAGAGAUCUGAAGGAACAUCAGUGGCGAAGGCGACUACCUGGACUGAUAUUGACGCUGAGGUGCGAAAGCGUGGGGAGCAAACGGGAGUAGAUACCCUAGUAGUCC
RNAcentral lists this ribosomal RNA (274 nucleotides) under uncultured bacterium. RNAcentral's name for it is "partial 16S ribosomal RNA". It matches the Rfam family "Bacterial small subunit ribosomal RNA", at positions 523 to 796 of the family's 1533-position model. The record is from RNAcentral.